RNAcentral lists this unclassified non-coding RNA (417 nucleotides) under Hevea brasiliensis (rubber tree). The record is from RNAcentral. Lineage: Eukaryota; Viridiplantae; Streptophyta; Magnoliopsida; Malpighiales; Euphorbiaceae.
AAUUUCCAUUGCACUUAAAAUCCAAAAUUACGAGUAAAAAUCCAAAAUACUCAAAAUGACUUCUCAACUAGUAGCAAACCACCGAGGAGGAGCGGAGAUCUACCACGGCAACUCCCUCUGCAAGCAGAAGUUCCUCGACAUUCUCAAGGAGAUCCGUCUCCCCAUUGGACUUCUGCCCCUAGACGACAUCCUUGAGAUUGGCUAUAACCGCACCACCGGCUUUGUCUGGUUGAAGCAGAAGAGGAGGAAAGAGCACAAAUUUCAUGCAAUUGGACGCAACGUGUCUUACGAAACGGAGGUGACGGCAUUCGUGGAGAAUCGUCGGAUGCGACGGGUAACUGGGGUGAAGACCAAAGAGUUUCUAAUUUGGGUCACGAUCUCUGAUAUUUCUAUAGAUCCUACGGAUACUGAGAAAAU